AUUUGGGGUUCAGGAUUUGGGAUUUGGGGUCGGGAUUUGGGGUUCAGGAUUUGGGAUUUAUGGGGUUUGGGGUCAGGAUUUGGGGUCGGAAUUUUAGGAUUUGGGGGAUUUGGGAUGGUCCAAAGGGAUUUAGGAACACCCAGGAUGGAUUUGGGAUGGUCCAGGAUGAUCCAAGGGGAUUUAGGAACAUCCAGGAUGGAUUUGGGAUGGUCCAAGAUGGAUUUGGGGUGGUCCAGGAUGGCCCAAAGGGAUUUAGGAACACCCAGGAUGGAUUUAGGAUGGUACAGGAUGGUCCAGGAUGGUCCAAGAGAAUUUAGGAGCACCCAGGAUGGAUUUGGGAUGGUUCAGGAUGAUCCAAGGGGAUUUAGGAACACCCAGGAUGGAUUUAGGAUGGUCCAGGAGGGUUACAGAUGGAUUUGGGAUGGUCCAAGAGGAUUUAGGAACAUCCAGGAUGGAUUUGGGAUGGUCCAAAGGGAUUUAGGAACACCCAGGAUGGUCCAAGAUGGAUUUGGGAUGGUCCAAAGUGAUUUAGGAGCAUCCACGAUGGAUUUGGGAUGGUCCAGGAUGGUCCAGGAUGGAUUUAGGAACACCCAGGAUGGUCCAAGAUGGAUUUGGGAUGGUCCGAGGGGAUUUAGGAACACCCAGGAUGGAUUUGGGGUGGUUCAGGAUGGAUUUGAGAUGAUCCAAGGGGAUUUAGGAACAUCCAGGAUGGUCCAGGAUGGAUUUGGGAUGGUCCAAGAAGAUUUAGGAGCAUCCAUGAUGGAUUUGGGAUGGUCCAUGAAGGUCCAAGAUGGAUUUGGGAUGAUCCAAGGGGAUUUAGGAACACCCAGGAUGGAUUUGGGAUGGUCCAGAAGGGUUUAGGAUGAUCCAAGAGGAUUUAGGAGCAUCCACGAGGGAUUUGGGAUGGUCCAAGGGGAUUUAGGAACAUCCAGGACCAUCCAAAUUUGGGGCAAUCUGGACCUGGGACAUCUUGGGACCAACCCAGGCCAAUCCAGGAUGGAUUUAGGACCAACCCAAGAGGAUUUAGGAUCGUCCAGGAUGGAUUUAGGAUGGUCCAAGAGGAUUUAGGAUCAUCCAAGGGGAUUUAGGAUCAUCCAAAUUUGGGGCAAUCUGGAUCUGGGACAACCUGAACCAACCCAGGCCAAUCCAGGAUGGAUUUAGGAUGGUCCAGGAUGGAUUUAGGAUCAUCCAGGAUGGAUUUAGGAUCAUCCAAGAGAAUUUAGGAUCAUCCAAGGGGAUUUAGGACCCUCCAGGACCACCCAAAUUUGGGCCAAUCCGGAUUUGGGACCACCUGGACCAACCCAGGCCAAUCCAGGCCCACCUGGGCUGACCCGGGAUGGAUUUAGGACCAACCCAAGAGGAUUUAGGAUCAUCCAGGAUGGAUUUAGGAACACCCAGGAUGGAUUUGGGAUGGUCCAAGAGGAUUUAGGAACAUCCAGGACCAUCCAAAUUUGGGCCAAUCUGGAUCUGGGACAUCUUGGGACCACCUGGACCAACCCAGGCCAAUCCAGGAUGGAUUCAGGACCAACCCAAGAGGAUUUAGGAUCAUCCAGGAUGGAUUUAGGAUGGUCCAAGGGGAUUUAGGACCAUCCAAGGGGAUUUAGGACCAUCCAAAUUUGGGCCAAUCUGGAUCUGGGACAACCUGGGCCAAUCUGGACCAACCCAGGAUGGAUUUAGGACCAACCCAAGAGGAUUUAGGAUGGUCCAGGAUGGAUCUGGGAUGGUCCAAGAGGAUUUAGGAACAUCCAAGGGGAUUUAGGACCACCCAAAUUUGGGCCAAUCUGGAUUUGGGACCACCUGGACCAACCCAGGCCAAUCCAGGCCCACCUGGGCUGACCCAGGAUGGAUUUAGGACCAACCC
This 1861-nucleotide long non-coding RNA is filed under the name Zonotrichia albicollis (white-throated sparrow). RNAcentral describes it as "lncRNA (ENSZALG00000003198.1)". Lineage: Eukaryota; Metazoa; Chordata; Aves; Passeriformes; Passerellidae. The record is from RNAcentral.